RNAcentral lists this transfer RNA (67 nucleotides) under Eleutherodactylus atkinsi (Atkin's robber frog). RNAcentral's name for it is "tRNA-Ser". The record is from RNAcentral. Lineage: Eukaryota; Metazoa; Chordata; Amphibia; Anura; Eleutherodactylidae.
GGGUUUGAAAGGAAAGACAAGAACUGCUAAUUACCUGUCAUCAUGGCUCAACUCCAUGACAUACCCG